AGGUCGCCCCCCCCUGGUCUAGUCCUCCCCCCGGCUUCCUGCUUCUGCCUUAAUGGCUUGUAUAUUCUGGAGAACAGCAUUCGUAGAGACCGGCUGGCAGAGAUUCUGGAACGACGGGGAAAGGAAUACAAGAAACACCAUGCCAGGAACGCAUCGCCACUAGUACCAGGGGCAUUGGAUUCAGAUGAGAAAGGGGAUAAGCUCGAGUUUGAAUACACUCCUCUUAGCUCCAUCCAACUCUCCACUGCAGUAUCCCAUUCAGGGUUUCACAGUUCGCCCCAUGGUCCCCACUCUCAUUCCAGGUAUCACUAAAUGGUGCCAAAGGUGUGCUCCGUCUAGGGACCCCAAGUGAAGCAGAGUGUCGAAGUUGACUUCAUGUUUGAGUAUCACCAAGAUGUGUUCCCCAUUGUCAUUCGGCAACCACCCCUACCUGUCUACUAUGACAUUGGAACAGGUACAACUACAAAAGCCAGUCCUUACAUAUCAUCCGUUUUUACCUUUUAGUACCGUCAUAAACCCAUACCUUCUACCUACCUAUCUCUGGCCAUCCUCUUCUCCUUACUCACAACCACAAACCUACCCAAACAAACUCUCUCUCCCACAGACAUUAGCCAUUGUGUGACAGUCACCACCAAGACCUUCAUGCGAUACAAGGAGUUGAGGGUAGUGAUGGGCAAAUGAAGCUUUUAUAAAGCAUUGAACCAGUUGAGCCAAUGUUUCGAAAAUGGGUUCAUUACUCGAAGCUUCAGUGACAGUGACCUCUGCUGGCGAAGUUCGAGGCUGCAGUGGAUUCAACGUAUCCCUGCUUUGAAAACUAUUUGACGCACAAACACACAAACCCAAAUACUUAAUAGCAUGAUCUUUUCACGAAUAAAGAUUGAUCUAAAUACAGAUGUCUAAAUUGUUCUUAAAGGGAUAUGCCUACCCAGAUAGCAAAAUGACAUCGAAUCAACGUUGAAAUAUGGUCAUGGAGGUUGAUUAUUGGUUGUGGUUGGUUAAGGUUGAAAAAUCAACAUUGAAUCAACAUUGUUUUAUGGUUGAAAUUGCACAUUGAAAUGCCAACGGUGGAUCAACAUUGAAUCAACAUUGUUUUAUGGUUGAAAUUGACCAUUGAAAUUGACAUGAAAUGCCGACGUUAAAUCAACGUUAUUUCAAUGAUUGUUAUCUUUUGUUUUGUUUUUGUGAUUUUGUUUAAAACUAACGAAAAUGUAAAAGAAAUGAAUGCAUGUGUACAUCUGUUCUUGUUCUAGUGAUGUUACAUUGUAUGAAAAAAAAAAAGAACAUUCACUGUGAUUUAGCAAUUGGAGAAGUCUAUGAUGUGGCAGGGUUUGGAAGGGGGGAAUGUAGGUGUACACGUGCAUAUAUUUCUUGAUAUGUAGCUCUGGCCCAGAGCUAUAGA
Molecule: long non-coding RNA, 1399 nt
Organism: Gadus morhua (Atlantic cod)
Lineage: Eukaryota; Metazoa; Chordata; Actinopteri; Gadiformes; Gadidae
Exons: 4
Source: RefSeq, a predicted model, not a curated record